RNAcentral lists this ribosomal RNA (229 nucleotides) under uncultured bacterium. RNAcentral's name for it is "partial 16S ribosomal RNA". It matches the Rfam family "Bacterial small subunit ribosomal RNA", at positions 568 to 796 of the family's 1533-position model. The record is from RNAcentral.
CGUGUAGGCGGCCUGAUUAGUCAGAUGUGAAAGCUCCGGGCUUAACCCGGAAAGUGCAUUUGAAACUGUCAGGCUUGAGUCCGGGAGAGGAAGGUGGAAUUCCCAGUGUAGAGGUGAAAUUCGUAGAUAUUGGGAGGAACACCGGUGGCGAAGGCGACCUUCUGGACCGAGACUGACGCUGAGACGCGAAAGCGUGGGGAGCAAACAGGAUUAGAUACCCUGGUAGUCC